GCGGGCGUGGUGGAACUGGUAGACACACCAGAUUUAGGUUCUGGCGGCUUCGGUCAUGGGGGUUCAAGUCCCUCCGCCCGCACCA
This 85-nucleotide transfer RNA is filed under the name Hyphomicrobiales bacterium. RNAcentral describes it as "tRNA-Leu". It matches the Rfam family "tRNA". From Rfam's summary of the family: Transfer RNA (tRNA) molecules are approximately 80 nucleotides in length. Their secondary structure includes four short double-helical elements and three loops (D, anti-codon, and T loops). The record is from RNAcentral. Lineage: Bacteria; Pseudomonadati; Pseudomonadota; Alphaproteobacteria; Hyphomicrobiales.